GUGUUUGCGGGCGUGGCAUCAUCAAGAUUCACAACCCAUGGAUCCAAAUAAACCACUGAUUUGGAUCGAGGAGAUGCAUGAGAAUCUUGAUGAUGCUGCAUCCGCCAACAA
Molecule: microRNA precursor, 111 nt
Filed under: Sorghum bicolor (sorghum)
Lineage: Eukaryota; Viridiplantae; Streptophyta; Magnoliopsida; Poales; Poaceae
Description: mir-172 microRNA precursor family
Rfam family: mir-172 microRNA precursor family
About the family: mir-172 has been experimentally verified in Arabidopsis thaliana. This family is thought to target mRNAs coding for APETALA2-like transcription factors.
Source: Rfam by way of RNAcentral